GACGAACGCUGGCGGCGUGCCUAAUACAUGCAAGUAGAACGCUGAAGGAGGAGAUUGCUUCUCUGGAUGAGUUGCGAACGGGUGAGUAACGCGUAGGUAACCUGCCUGGUAGCGGGGGAUAACUAUUGGAAACGAUAGCUAAUACCGCAUAAUAGUAGAUGUUGCAUGACAUUUGCUUAAAAGGUGCAAUUGCAUCACUACCAGAUGGACCUGCGUUGUAUUAGCUAGUUGGUGGGGUAACGGCUCACCAAGGCGACGAUACAUAGCCGACCUGAGAGGGUGAUCGGCCACACUGGGACUGAGACACGGCCCAGACUCCUACGGGAGGCAGCAGUAGGGAAUCUUCGGCAAUGGACGGAAGGCUGACCGAGCAACGCCGCGUGAGUGAAGAAGGUUUUCGGAUCGUAAAGCUCUGUUGUAAGAGAAGAACGAGUGUGAGAGUGGAAAGUUCACACUGUGACGGUAUCUUACCAGAAAGGGACGGCUAACUACGUG
RNAcentral lists this ribosomal RNA (495 nucleotides) under uncultured bacterium. RNAcentral's name for it is "partial 16S ribosomal RNA". It matches the Rfam family "Bacterial small subunit ribosomal RNA", at positions 28 to 507 of the family's 1533-position model. The record is from RNAcentral.